GCCGAGGUGGUGAAAUUGGCAGACACGCAUGGUUUAGGACCAUGUGCCUUCGGGCAUGGAGGUUCAAGUCCUCUCCUCGGCA
This 82-nucleotide transfer RNA is filed under the name Patescibacteria group bacterium. Its description in RNAcentral is "tRNA-Leu". It matches the Rfam family "tRNA". Rfam says of the family: Transfer RNA (tRNA) molecules are approximately 80 nucleotides in length. Their secondary structure includes four short double-helical elements and three loops (D, anti-codon, and T loops). Further hydrogen bonds mediate the characteristic L-shaped molecular structure. tRNAs have two regions of fundamental functional importance: the anti-codon, which is responsible for specific mRNA codon recognition, and the 3' end, to which the tRNAs corresponding amino acid is attached (by aminoacyl-tRNA synthetases). tRNAs cope with the degeneracy of the genetic code in two manners: having more than one tRNA (with a specific anti-codon) for a particular amino acid; and 'wobble' base-pairing, i.e. permitting non-standard base-pairing at the 3rd anti-codon position. The record is from RNAcentral.